RNAcentral lists this ribosomal RNA (1990 nucleotides) under Sinuolinea dimorpha. Its description in RNAcentral is "SSU rRNA". It matches the Rfam family "Eukaryotic small subunit ribosomal RNA". The record is from RNAcentral. Lineage: Eukaryota; Metazoa; Cnidaria; Myxozoa; Bivalvulida; Sinuolineidae.
ACCUGGUUGAUCCUGCCAGUGAUUAUAUGCUCGUCUCAAGGAUUAAGCCAUGCAUGUGUAAGUUCACAUCUAUAUAUGAUGAAACAGCGAAGCGCUCAUUAAAUCAGUUAUUGUCUGUUCGAUGGUAUAAACCGUGGAUAACUAUGGUAACCUAUAGCUAAUACAUGUACGAACCAACGGUAGCAAUAUCGUUGGGGCAUUUAUUAGUUUAAAACCAAUCAAAACGGCAACGUUUUGAAGUUGAACCUGAAUAACUUUGCAAACCAAAAUGUGUAUACAUUUGGUAAUUCGAUUGAAUUUCUGCCCUAUCAACUUGUUGUUGGGGUAGUGGCCUAACAAGGUUUUGACGGGUAACGGGGAAUCRGGGUUCGAUUCCGGAGAGGGAGCCUGAGAAACGGCUACCACAUCCAAGGAAGGCAGCAGGCGCGCAAAUUACCCAAUCCGGUCAUCGGGAGGUAGCGACGAGAAAUACCAAACUUAAAAAAUUUUAGGUAUUGGAAUGGAGUCAAUAUAGUAACUUGACUGAGCAACUACUGGAGGGCAAGUCUGGUGCCAGCAGCCGCGGUAAUUCCAGCUCCAGUAGUGUAUAUCAAAAUUGUUGCGGUUAAAACGCUCGUAGUUGGAUGACAAAAAUUUGUAACACUUGAUAUGUUAGAUCAUAUUUUGUGAAGCAGAUUUUUUUAUUGCAAAUUCCUAUGGUUGCUUAAUUGCCAAUUGUAGGUCAUUUGUAAAGCGUGCCUUGAAUAAAKCAGAGUGCUCAAAUCAAGCGUAACGCUAGAAUGUAAUAGCAUGGAACGAACAGCCAGAUUUCUGGUUCAGUUGGUUGGUGACACCGGCAAUCGGUAAUUGAAUGAAUUUACGUUGUCAAUGGUUAGGUAGCUGGAAUUAAAAACUUCUCUACUUGACCAUUAGAUAACCUCUGAGCUUUCAAGAACCGGUUGUUUGGAUCUGAACCGGGYCAUGAUUAAAAGGGGCAUUUGAGGGCGUUAGUAUUUAAUGGCGAGAGGUGAAAUUCAGUGACCCAUUAAGGACUAGCUAAUGCGAAGGCGUUCGCCAAGAAUGUUUUCAUUAAUCAAGAACGAAAGUUGGAGGCUCGAAGACGAUCAGAUACCGUCGUAGUUCCAACAGUAAACUAUGCCAUCACGGGAUCAGCUCGUGAAUUACAUACUAGUUGGUCUCCCAGGGAAACCUUAAGCUUUCGGGUUCCGGGGAGAGUACGGUCGCAAGUCUGAAAUUUAAAGGAAUUGACGGAAGGACACCACCAGGAGUGGAGCCUGCGGCUUAAUUUGACUCAACACGGGGCAACUCACCAGGUCCGGACAUUAAAAGGAAUGACAGACUGAUAGAUCUUUCAUGAUACAAUGAUUGGUGGUGCAUGGCCGUUCUUAGUUGGUGGAGCGAUCUGUCAGGUCUAUUCCGGUAACGAGCGAGACCACGAUCUCUAAUUUAUCGCUUUGUCCAUUUCAACUUUUCUCCGUGCACUGUGUUUCAGUGCAAUCAAGCCAAGGGUAGCGCGGGGAGAAAUCCUCUUGUUAUGUGAGGUUUGGUUGUGUUGGGAUGCAAAUGUAUGGAGUUAAAGUCGGGCAGAGAUAAUAGAGAGACUACCGUGCGAUUUUAAAAGCCGGGGGAGGCGUGGCAAUAACAGGUCUGUGAUGCCCUUCGAUGUUYUGGGCUGCACGCGCGCUACAAUGGCAGUGACACAAAGUUACUGYUCCGAGAGGAGUGGUAAAACCAAAAUCGCUGUCGUAAAUGGGACUGAGCCUUGUAAUAAUUGCUCACGAAAGAGGAAUUCCUCGUAAGCGUGAGUCAUCAACUUGCGUUGAAUACGUYUCUGUCCUUUGUACACACCGCCCGUCGCUACUACUAAUUGAAUUGUGUUUCGAAAAGUAGGGAUUUGUUAGACUUCGGUCUCGAUAAAGAACCACUUUUAGAAACACAUUCGAAAAGAAGUAAAAGUCGUAACAAGGUUUCCGUAGGUGAACCUGCGAAG